UGGCUGAGUGGUAAAGAAUCUGCCUGCAGUGCAGGAGACUAGGGUUCAAUCCCUG
This 55-nucleotide transfer RNA is filed under the name Bos taurus (domestic cattle). RNAcentral also lists the same sequence under 4 other names. Lineage: Eukaryota; Metazoa; Chordata; Mammalia; Artiodactyla; Bovidae. The record is from Rfam by way of RNAcentral.